Molecule: transfer RNA, 72 nt
Filed under: Argiope bruennichi
Lineage: Eukaryota; Metazoa; Arthropoda; Arachnida; Araneae; Araneidae
Also listed under: 2 other names
Description: transfer RNA glutamic acid (anticodon CUC)
Rfam family: tRNA
About the family: Transfer RNA (tRNA) molecules are approximately 80 nucleotides in length. Their secondary structure includes four short double-helical elements and three loops (D, anti-codon, and T loops). Further hydrogen bonds mediate the characteristic L-shaped molecular structure. tRNAs have two regions of fundamental functional importance: the anti-codon, which is responsible for specific mRNA codon recognition, and the 3' end, to which the tRNAs corresponding amino acid is attached (by aminoacyl-tRNA synthetases). tRNAs cope with the degeneracy of the genetic code in two manners: having more than one tRNA (with a specific anti-codon) for a particular amino acid; and 'wobble' base-pairing, i.e. permitting non-standard base-pairing at the 3rd anti-codon position.
Source: Rfam by way of RNAcentral
UCCCACAUGGUCUAGUGGUUAGGAUACCUGGCUCUCACCCAGGAGGCCCGGGUUCAAUUCCCGGUGUGGGAA